UUUAAGUACAUGAAUUCUGCGCUAUAUCACCUUUUAAAAAUGUCAAGCUAUGCAGCAUGGGAUAAUGAUGACAAUGCACAGAAACUUUUCUGGGAUCAAAUAAGGGAUCACCUUAGUUGAACUGUUGAUGUUUUUAUCAAAUGGAGGGUUUUGAAGCAAGAACUAUGUUGUUUCAAGAUAGAAUAAAAUUAUUGAUGAAAUAAUAAUGCUAAUAAU
This 216-nucleotide long non-coding RNA is filed under the name Mytilus galloprovincialis (Mediterranean mussel). Lineage: Eukaryota; Metazoa; Mollusca; Bivalvia; Mytilida; Mytilidae. The record is from RNAcentral.